RNAcentral lists this ribosomal RNA (208 nucleotides) under Escherichia coli. Its description in RNAcentral is "partial 16S ribosomal RNA". It matches the Rfam family "Bacterial small subunit ribosomal RNA", at positions 1326 to 1533 of the family's 1533-position model. Lineage: Bacteria; Pseudomonadati; Pseudomonadota; Gammaproteobacteria; Enterobacterales; Enterobacteriaceae. RNAcentral also lists the same sequence under 4 other names. The record is from RNAcentral.
UCGGAAUCGCUAGUAAUCGUGGAUCAGAAUGCCACGGUGAAUACGUUCCCGGGCCUUGUACACACCGCCCGUCACACCAUGGGAGUGGGUUGCAAAAGAAGUAGGUAGCUUAACCUUCGGGAGGGCGCUUACCACUUUGUGAUUCAUGACUGGGGUGAAGUCGUAACAAGGUAACCGUAGGGGAACCUGCGGUUGGAUCACCUCCUUA